AUUUGGAUGUGAUAUGCAUACUCCUAUGAGAUUAAGGUACAACCGUAGGUGAAAUUGCAAGAACAACAACCAAGAGCCGAGCAAAGCAUUCAGGGAUGUAGAACUAUUAGUUUCUGUAAAAAUUCUUCACGGGCUAUAAAAAAUAUUUAUGGGUUCAUUUUAAUAGAUAUGGGUUUGAUUUUAUAUUAGUACCAGGUUGAUAGAUGUGGAUGAGCUUUUGUCUUUGACAUCUUCUAAUUGUGAAGUGCUAUCAAGUUAGUAGAU
Long non-coding RNA from Juglans microcarpa x Juglans regia, 264 nucleotides. RefSeq lists it as uncharacterized. The transcript is spliced from 2 exons. The record is from RefSeq and is a predicted model, not a curated record. NCBI's taxonomy places the organism in Eukaryota, Viridiplantae, Streptophyta, Magnoliopsida, Fagales, Juglandaceae.